Molecule: long non-coding RNA, 2858 nt
Organism: Oreochromis aureus
Lineage: Eukaryota; Metazoa; Chordata; Actinopteri; Cichliformes; Cichlidae
Source: Ensembl
AAAAAAAAUGAACAUAAUACUAAUUGUAUGCUCUAGUGUGUCAAUACAGGUGGGCGUCUCUCAACUUUGGAACCUUGAGUUCAGCAGCAGAAGAGCAGAUUAAUAGAAUUGGGAGAAAAUAAGCCAGUCUUUGGCUCGAAAUUGUGCGGCUUGAUCUCUCACUUUGUCCCUGAAGCGGAGAAGAAGUUCAAAGGACAGUCAAUCGCCUGAUGAAGACCGACAGAACAUCGUGGACUUGAAUACAGCAGGCAAACGGCAGUGCCACUGAUCCAGUAACACUGAUGACGACUGACGACCAGCAGCAGCAUGUAAGAGUACUGCAACAUGUACUGUGAAAAUACAGGCUGGGCAGUUGAACAGUGGGAUAAAGAAUUGUGGAAGAGCACUGGACAUUGAGUGAUAUUUUGCCAUGCUGGGACUUAACUUAAAAGAAAGACUGUAAAGAAACAGAGAAGAAGACAACAGCUGAGUUGAGACUGUGUUUGCUGGAGCUUUGAAGCCCGAAUAGGACGCUGUGAAUGAAAAAGGACCAGUGAGAGGUGAAGCUGGACGAGUUUGACUGCGAGAAUAUAGGAUAUAAUUGGAUUGAAAAUUGAAGCCUGAACUCAUGAAUUGUUUAGGGAUGUCCACCACAGCAUAACAAAGAGGUAAACAUUAGAAAAGGUAAGAAUAAUGAACGAAAAUAAUUGUCAUUACCUUAAUGAAUAGAAAACACACAUACAAAUUGUUACAUGUGAGAUUAUUUUUGAAAUGAAUCAGAAGUGAGAUAGUUUGAAUCUAAGGCUCAGUGGUGAAAUGCAUAAAUUAAAUAUGAAUAUAUAGGAUGCAAUGAAGAAACAGCUGACACGUAGUGUACAUUAACAUGAAUACAUAGAAAUGCAAUGAGAAACUCAAUGAAUUAAUUCAAUGAAGAAGCAGUAUACACCCAAUUAACAUAAAAUGCAAGGAAGAACACGCUUACAUGCAUGGCAUAAUUGGUAUUUCUGACUAGAGACAGAGAAAUGGGUCAUUUAAGCACUUGUGGGAAUAAUGAAAAUGUCUUAGUUUUGUUAUUUUCAGGGGUAAAGCAGAACCGUACCAACUCUCCACAGCAGCAGUCGGAAGAAAGUUAGAAGUUAACAUCACUGGAUAAGUUAAGGCAAGUUUCUGGUUGAAUUGUUCACAGAAUCAUGUGUCCAUGAACCUGGAAAACAGGCCCUAGCUCCUGGCUGAAGACUAGGAGUGCUUUAUUUAAGGUGGGAAAUCAAAACAGAGGGUUAGUAAUUCGGGGAAAAAGAAAACUGACUGCUUAACUGGAGAAUUGGGAAGGAGUCUGGGAGACUGUGAAGCCAUAGAUGCAAAAUAACACAUACCCAUACACACACAAACAGAAAAUGCAUUAACCUUAUAAAGACAAGCUCCUGAAGCUUAAUGCAUAGAGACAUUGAUUAAAACCUGGCUAAGAACAUAAGCAUAUGCAAUGAAGAUCGGCUUGCUACUUGUAUGAGUGAUAGAAUGGUGUGAAUGUUGAAUAAACUGAUUAAACUAGUUUAAAAGGGUGACUUAGCAGUGCUUUUGCACUGAGUGAUCAAAACAAGUGAUUAGUAUAGAAAGAAAAUGAAAAUAAUUCAAUAAUGUGAUAAAGUUUAAACAUGUAUUUCUUUUGCCAAGUUAAAAAUUGUUGAGAUAUGGCUGAGUAUGGAAAAAUUUGAGAGCUUGUGUGAAUGUGGACAGAGGAGCUUGCUGUGUGUGUGUGAUUGAGGCCUUAAAGGAGGGGUAGAUUGUUCAGGGGUGCAAAUUUGAUUAGGAGGUUUAUAAAUUAGUGUUGACACAUUGUGGUAAGGUGUUAGGCUGAAUCUGAGUAUGGUAAAGUGCUUAACCGGGGUUAUUGUUGUGUACGAAACGGUGUAGCUUUUGGCGAGGUUUUCGGUGUGUUGAAUGGGUGAAAUUUAAGAUGGUUUAAGAUUUUUGGGGCUGUUGUUUUCAUUUUAAUAGAGGGAGUUUUGAUAAACAUGGACAUGUCUAAAAGGGCCCAUAGUUUUUAUAACAGUGCACUUAGAAAAAACCUGUCAGGUGAUUUUGUUUUGUACUUUGAUGAGCUAACAAUCAGCUCUCUUUUUUCUCAUUUUGCUCUAAGCAGGCCUGGAAGAGAGUGAACUGACGGCGCGGACAAAUUACCAAGUAAGGAUUGCAGCGAGUCAAUCCAGUCAAAAGUAUAGAGAACUAUUUUCCUAAAAAGGAAAAACGAAAUAAAACAAAUGAUUGAGCUCAUUUUGCUGAUGUGGAGCAUCUGAUCACGUGCGCAGAAGGCUGCAGAUCAGCAAAAAUAUCAUGUGUGAAUGCAUGGGAGUGAAUGUGAGUGAUGGGACCAAGAGGGGAAAUAAAUAAAAGGUUGACAAACAGGACAAGUGGGAGACUUAAAUCUGGGGAUGCUGAUUUUGGGAUAUUGAUGUGUGCGUUGAGAAAAUUAUUUAUUGGGGUUGGAUUAUGUUAUUACAUUAUAGGAUGUUAAAUGCUAAAAGGGAAACAUUGAUGUAACUUAAGUUACCAUGAACGGAGGGGACACAUGAUUAAUAACUGUUCUGUGUAAGUUUAUUUUGUGUUAUAACACAGGUUGGAUCAUCAGUGGAGAAAGUGAGUAUAAAAGGUGAUGUUCUGGUUAACACACAGGCUUUUGUUUAUAGGACGUUUCAAGGAUGCAGGCUGUGGAUGGAGCCAAGAAAAGAUUUGACAUGAUGAUUAAUUUGAUUUCAUUCCUUAAAAACAGGUUUGAAGGUCCGGAGCAUGUAGACUUAAUAUGAUAUGACUAACCUUUUUAAUGCCCUAACCUGAGUGAAGGAUUUUGAGUUUGUAACACAUGAGAUGUGUCACAAAAAGGG